Gadus morhua (Atlantic cod) is the source of this 384-nucleotide long non-coding RNA. RefSeq lists it as uncharacterized. Lineage: Eukaryota; Metazoa; Chordata; Actinopteri; Gadiformes; Gadidae. The transcript has 3 exons. The record is from RefSeq and is a predicted model, not a curated record.
AACCAAUCGGCUGAGAUGAGAAGGGAACCACCAGAGACCAAGGUUGAUUCUUCUGGGUCAAAGAGCAGAGGCUGUUUUAAAAGAAUCAAACACGCAGUUCCAAUGCAACGGUCCAGUUCGUUAUCAACGAACUGCAUAAUGGAGUUGGGAAGGAAGAAAAGAUAGCUCAGCUACCCCGCCUGGUGGCAGAGAAUUAGGACUACCACACAGCGACCCGGAGCCCGACGGCCGCCCCCUCCCCCGGCCACGCUCCGGCCCCGAGACCCACCAACCCCUUCGAGCCGGAGGAAGACCACCUGCCGCUGGCCCCUGGGGGCGGGGGAGACGCGUGGCGCAGCAGCAUGUCAGUCGGAUUAAAACCAACAAAUGUAACAGGAUUUUAUU